This 233-nucleotide unclassified non-coding RNA is filed under the name Hevea brasiliensis (rubber tree). Lineage: Eukaryota; Viridiplantae; Streptophyta; Magnoliopsida; Malpighiales; Euphorbiaceae. The record is from RNAcentral.
GUAGUAGUAGUAGUAGUAGUAGUGUAUAGAUAUUAAAAGGGUUUAGAAUAGUUAGGUAGGAUUAUAUAAGUUAUUGUGAAGUAAUAUUUUUUUAUUUAGUUAAAGUUAAUAAAAGAUUUUUUUUUUAGGUUAAUUUAGAAGAGAUUACGGAAGAGGUAAAGAAAUUUAAAAUUUAUUAGUAAAGGUAGUUUAAUUUUUUAAGAAAUUUUGUGUUAGGUAUAAUAUUUUUUUUU